Molecule: ribosomal RNA, 469 nt
Filed under: uncultured bacterium
Lineage: Bacteria
Description: partial 16S ribosomal RNA
Rfam family: Bacterial small subunit ribosomal RNA
Source: RNAcentral
GACGAACGCUGGCGGCGUGCUUAACACAUGCAAGUCGAACGGAAAGGCCCUGCUUGCAGGGUGCUCGAGUGGCGAACGGGUGAGUAACACGUGGGUGAUCUGCCCCUUAUUUUGGGAUAAGCCUGGGAAACUGGGUCUAAUACUGGAUAGGACCAUGCUGUAGGUGGUGUGGUGGAAAGAUUAGUUUCGGUAAGGGAUGAGCUCGCGGCCUAUCAGCUUGUUGGUGGGGUAAUGGCCUACCAAGGCGUCGACGGGUAGCCGGCCUGAGAGGGUGGACGGCCACAUUGGGACUGAGAUACGGCCCAGACUCCUACGGGAGGCAGCAGUGGGGAAUAUUGCACAAUGGGCGCAAGCCUGAUGCAGCGACGCCGCAUGGGGGAUGACGGCCUUCGGGUUGUAAACUCCUUUCAGCCAUGACGAAGCCCUUGUGGUGACGGUAGUGGUAGAAGAAGCACCGGCUAACUACGUG